Molecule: non-coding RNA, 21 nt
Filed under: Caenorhabditis elegans
Lineage: Eukaryota; Metazoa; Nematoda; Chromadorea; Rhabditida; Rhabditidae
Source: RNAcentral
UCAAUGAAUUUCGAUUUUGUU